UACGUAGGAUCCAAGCGUUGUCCGGAUUUACUGGGUGUAAAGGGUGCGCAGGCGGACUUGUAAGUCAGGGGUGAAAUCUCACAGCUCAACUGUGAAACUGCCUUUGAUACUGCAAGUCUUGGAUCCAGAAGAGAGUUGUGGAAUUCCGAGUGUAGCAGUGAAAUGUGUAGAUAUUCGGAAGAACACCAGUGGCGAAGGCAAGCAACUUGGUCUGGUAUCGACGCUCAGGCACGAAAGCAUG
Molecule: ribosomal RNA, 241 nt
Filed under: uncultured bacterium
Lineage: Bacteria
Description: partial 16S ribosomal RNA
Rfam family: Bacterial small subunit ribosomal RNA
Source: RNAcentral